Molecule: ribosomal RNA, 506 nt
Filed under: uncultured bacterium
Lineage: Bacteria
Description: partial 16S ribosomal RNA
Rfam family: Bacterial small subunit ribosomal RNA
Source: RNAcentral
AGUGAACGCUGGCGGUAGGCCUAACACAUGCAAGUCGAACGGCAGCACAGGAGAGCUUGCUCCUCGGGUGACGAGUGGCGGACGGGUGAGUAAUGUCUGGGGAUCUGCCCGAUAGAGGGGGAUAACCACUGGAAACGGUGGCUAAUACCGCAUAACGUCGCAAGACCAAAGAGGGGGACCUUCGGGCCUCUCACUAUCGGAUGAACCCAGAUGGGAUUAGCUAGUAGGCGGGGUAACGGCCCACCUAGGCGACGAUCCCUAGCUGGUCUGAGAGGAUGACCAGCCACACUGGAACUGAGACACGGUCCAGACUCCUACGGGAGGCAGCAGUGGGGAAUAUUGCACAAUGGGCGCAAGCCUGAUGCAGCCACGCCGCGUGUAUGAAGAAGGCCUUCGGGUUGUAAAGUACUUUCAGCGGGGAGGAAGGCGAUGUGGUUAAUAACCGCAUUGAUUGACGUUACCCGCAGAAGAAGCACCGGCUAACUACGUGCCAGCCGCCGCAGUAA